UACAUAUAGAACACACACACUGCAGAGAGAGGGAGUGGAGGUACAGAUACUGUACAUAUAGAACACACACACUGCAGAGAGGGAGUGGAGGUACAGAUACUGUACAUAUAGAACACACACACUGCAGAGAGAGGGAGUGGAGGUACAGAUACUGUACAUAUAGAACACACACACUGCAGAGAGAGGGAGUGGAGGUACAGAUACUGUACAUAUAGAACACACACACUGCAGAGAGAGGGAGUGGAGGUACAGAUACUGUACAUAUAGAACACACACUGCAGAGAGAGGGAGUGGAGGUACAGAUACUGUACAUAUAGAACACACACUGCAGAGAGAGGGAGUGGAGGUACAGAUACUGUACAUAUAGAACACACACACUGCAGAGAGAGGGAGUGGAGGUACAGAUACUGUACAUAUAGAACACACACUGCAGAGAGAGGGAGUGGAGGUACAGAUACUGUACAUAUAGAACACACACACUGCAGAGAGAGGGAGUGGAGGUACAGAUACUGUACAUAUAGAACACACACUGCAGAGAGAGGGAGUGGAGGUACAGAUACUGUACAUAUAGAACACACACACUGCAGAGAGAGGGAGUGGAGGUACAGAUACUGUACAUAUAGAACACACACUGCAGAGAGAGGGAGUGGAGGUACAGAUACUGUACAUAUAGAACACACACACUGCAGAGAGAGGGAGUGGAGGUACAGAUACUGUACAUAUAGAACACACACUGCAGAGAGAGGGAGUGGAGGUACAGAUACUGUACAUAUAGAACACACACACUUCAGAGAGAGGGAGUGGAGGUACAGAUACUGUACAUAUAGAACACACACACUGCAGAGAGAGGGAGUGGAGGUACAGAUACUGUACAUAUAGAACACACACACUGCAGAGAGAGGGAGUGGAGGUACAGAUACUGUACAUAUAGAACACACACACUGCAGAGAGAGGGGGUGGAGGUACAGCAGCCUAGUCCCUCGCUCACUGGUUGAGCAGCCUAGUCCCUAGCUCACUGGUUGAGCAGCCUAGUCCCUCGCUCACUGGUUGAGCAGCCUAGUCCCUCGCUCACUGGUUGAGCAGCCUAGUCCCUCGCUCACUGGUUGAGCAGCCUAGUCCCUCGCUCACUGGUUGAGCAGCCUAGUCCCUCGCUCACUGGUUGAGCAGCCUAGUCCCUCGCUCACUGGUUGAGCAGCCUAGUCCCUCGCUCACUGGUUGAGCAGCCUAGUCCCUCGCUCACUGGUUGAGCAGCCUA
Long non-coding RNA from Oncorhynchus keta (chum salmon), 1255 nucleotides. RefSeq lists it as uncharacterized. The transcript has 3 exons. Lineage: Eukaryota; Metazoa; Chordata; Actinopteri; Salmoniformes; Salmonidae. The record is from RefSeq and is a predicted model, not a curated record.